Oncorhynchus tshawytscha (Chinook salmon) is the source of this 426-nucleotide long non-coding RNA. The record is from Ensembl. Lineage: Eukaryota; Metazoa; Chordata; Actinopteri; Salmoniformes; Salmonidae.
CGUGUUUCUAGGUAGUGCCGUCUCGUGUUUCUAGGUAGUGCCGUCUCGUGUUUCUAGGUAGUGCCGUCUCGUGUUUCUAGGUAGUGCUGUCUCGUGUUUCUAGGUAGUGCCGUCUCGUGUUUCCUAGGUAGUGCCGUCUCGUGUUUCCUAGGUAGUGUUGUGUUGAAUUUCUCUGUAAAAAAAAUACACUCCGACAUUGGAAUUAAAUGUUGCCCAUUUACAUCACAUAUGUUGCCUGACUACAGCUAGCUACCCAGCUAGCUACCCACGACGUACUGACAUCUACCUGACAUAACAUUCGUUUUUAGGUCAUCUUUGUUUAUUUGGCUAGCUAGCUAGAGUACUACGAUUCACAUCCAGUAUAUCUAGCUGAUAAUUAGGAAGUAAAACGGUUUCUUUGUUUAUAUGUUGUUGGGUCUCUAUUGA